This 549-nucleotide long non-coding RNA is filed under the name Pan troglodytes (chimpanzee). RNAcentral describes it as "long non-coding RNA NONPTRT013080". The record is from RNAcentral. Lineage: Eukaryota; Metazoa; Chordata; Mammalia; Primates; Hominidae.
CCAUUAAAACUUUAUGAAUAUUGGCCAGGCAUGGUGGCUCACGCCUGUAAUCCCAGCACUUUGGGAGGCCGAGGCAGGUGGAUCACCAGGUCAGGAGUUCAAGACCAGCCUGACCAACAUGGUGAAACCCCACCUCUACUAAAAAUACAAAAACUAGUCUGGCGUAGUGGCGCGUGCCUGCAAUCCCAGCUAGAGUGCCUGUCAUAUGGCAAUUACUCUUCUUUGUGUUUUAUACUUUCUCCCCUAUGAAGGUUUGGUCAGAAUUGAUUAUUUCUAAUGUCUAGUUCUGCAAGAGAAUAAAAGGAAAAUGCUCUCAAACAUUUAUAACAUAUAUUUUACAUGACAGCAGCUAGGUUGUCAUCAAAAUCUUGAAAAUAACCUGGACAUAUUUAUGUGGAAGAUACUGUACUCAAUGCUGCUGUAGGAACAAACUGUACUAUGUACCUUAUCUCUGGAAAUUCAGUUACUGAGUAAAACUUCUUAGUUUUAAAAGCUGGUAAUAAUCUAUUUAGAUCUUCUUUUCAAAUCAGAUUACUCAUUAAUGAAUGC